RNAcentral lists this unclassified non-coding RNA (87 nucleotides) under Pseudomonas orientalis. The record is from RNAcentral. Lineage: Bacteria; Pseudomonadati; Pseudomonadota; Gammaproteobacteria; Pseudomonadales; Pseudomonadaceae.
GUGGGAGGGGGCUUGCCCCCGAUAGCAGAGUGUCAGUCAGCAACUUUUCAGCUGACCCACCGCUAUCGGGGGCAAGCCCCCUCCCAC